This 497-nucleotide ribosomal RNA is filed under the name uncultured bacterium. RNAcentral's name for it is "partial 16S ribosomal RNA". It matches the Rfam family "Bacterial small subunit ribosomal RNA", at positions 28 to 507 of the family's 1533-position model. The record is from RNAcentral.
GACGAACGCUGGCGGCGUGCCUAAUACAUGCAAGUAGAACGCUGAAGAGAGGAGCUUGCUCUUCUUGGAUGAGUUGCGAACGGGUGAGUAACGCGUAGGUAACCUGCCUUGUAGCGGGGGAUAACUAUUGGAAACGAUAGCUAAUACCGCAUAACAAUGGAUGACACAUGUCCUUUAUUUGAAAGGGGCAAUUGCUCCACUACAAGAUGGACCUGCGUUGUAUUAGCUAGUAGGUGAGGUAACGGCUCACCUAGGCGACGAUACAUAGCCGACCUGAGAGGGUGAUCGGCCACACUGGGACUGAGACACGGCCCAGACUCCUACGGGAGGCAGCAGUAGGGAAUCUUCGGCAAUGGGGGCAACCCUGACCGAGCAACGCCGCGUGAGUGAAGAAGGUUUUCGGAUCGUAAAGCUCUGUUGUAAGUCAAGAACGAGUGUGAGAGUGGAAAGUUCACACUGUGACGGUAGCUUACCAGAAAGGGACGGCUAACUACGUG